CAAGUCGAACGAUGAACCACUUCGGUGGGGAUUAGUGGCGAACGGGUGAGUAACACGUGGGCAAUCUGCCCUUCACUCUGGGACAAGCCCUGGAAACGGGGUCUAAUACCGGAUAUCACUCCCGCAGGCAUCUGUGGGGGUCGAAAGCUCCGGCGGUGAAGGAUGAGCCCGCGGCCUAUCAGCUUGUUGGUGAGGUAAUGGCUCACCAAGGCGACGACGGGUAGCCGGCCUGAGAGGGCGACCGGCCACACUGGGACUGAGACACGGCCCAGACUCCUACGGGAGGCAGCAGUGGGGAAUAUUGCACAAUGGGCGAAAGCCUGAUGCAGCGACGCCGCGUGAGGGAUGACGGCCUUCGGGUUGUAAACCUCUUUCAGCAGGGAAGAAGCGAAAGUGACGGUACCUGCAGAAGAAGCGCCGGCUAACUACGUGCCAGCAGCCGCGGUAAUACGUAGGGCGCAAGCGUUGUCCGGAAUUAUUGGGCGUAAAGAGCUCGUAGGCGGCUUGUCACGUCGGGUGUGAAAGCCCGGGGCUUAACCCCGGGUCUGCAUUCGAUACGGGCAGGCUAGAGUGUGGUAGGGGAGAUCGGAAUUCCUGGUGUAGCGGUGAAAUGCGCAGAUAUCAGGAGGAACACCGGUGGCGAAGGCGGAUCUCUGGGCCAUUACUGACGCUGAGGAGCGAAAGCGUGGGGAGCGAACAGGAUUAGAUACCCUGGUAGUCCACGCCGUAAACGGUGGGAACUAGGUGUUGGCGACAUUCCACGUCGUCGGUGCCGCAGCUAACGCAU
This 787-nucleotide ribosomal RNA is filed under the name Streptomyces sp. RNAcentral's name for it is "bacterial SSU rRNA". It matches the Rfam family "Bacterial small subunit ribosomal RNA", at positions 58 to 860 of the family's 1533-position model. The record is from RNAcentral. Lineage: Bacteria; Bacillati; Actinomycetota; Actinomycetes; Kitasatosporales; Streptomycetaceae.